This is a long non-coding RNA of Xenopus tropicalis (tropical clawed frog), 316 nucleotides long. RefSeq lists it as uncharacterized. Lineage: Eukaryota; Metazoa; Chordata; Amphibia; Anura; Pipidae. The transcript is spliced from 3 exons. The record is from RefSeq and is a predicted model, not a curated record.
CAGGAGUACUCAGGUGAACCUGGUGAAAACAUCUUCCAGGAGGAACCUAAUGAACAGCCUGGGAACAACAUCUACCAGGAUGAAGAAGAGAACACUGCUCAAUACAUCUAUGAAGUAAGCAGAAAAGAAGAGAAAGUAAAGAAAUGUUCUCUAUUGUCUUCCGCUUAGGUAAAUCUGAUAGUGAACAAAUAAAAAACUGAAAAAUCUCAAAACUGAAAAACGUUGCAUUAUGCUAAACCGAGAUUUUUUUUCUUCCCCAGGCCAAUACUGCAUACCAGUUUGUAGCUGAAUUCCCGGUAAGCAAAACUGUAAGAUG